GUGUUGUGGUAGUAACAGCUCGUCAGACUGGUCAGACAGUGUGUGGAUCCUGACACCUAGCAACGAGAGACUGGUCCCAGACAGCUGCUGCAAGACUCCCAGUAACCUCUGUGGCCAAGAGACCACCCCUCUAAUAUCUACAAGGUGGAGGGAGGGUGCAUCACAAAGCUGGAGACCUUCAUUCUGAGCCAACUGCAGAUCCUGGGAGCAGUGGCGAUCGGCAUCGCCUUCCUCCAGCUCGUAGGGAUGAUUCUUGUUUGCUGCCUGUAUCGAGGUCUGAAGGAGGAGUCAUACUGAGCAUGGCUGAUGGCACAACUACAACAGCAAGAAGACAACAACAACAACAACAACAACCACAACUACACAACCACAACAACACAACCACAACUACAACAGCAAGAAGACAACAGCAAGAAGACAACAACAACACAACCACAACAACACAACCACAACUACAACAGCAAGAAGACAACAGCAAGAAGACAACAACAACAACACAACCACAACUACAACAGCAAGAAGACAACAGCAAGAAGACAACAGCAAGAAGACAACAGCAACAACACAACCACAACAACAUAUUUACCAGUAUUUAGAUAUGCUUUCUCUCUGUCUCGGACGCUACAUACAUCUCAUGUAGAUAUUUGGAAUGAAAGUCGUUUUUUUUUUUCAAAGACAAAUUUAAUCUAUGUAGAAGUUUAGGUAAGGCAGGCAAAGAGGCAGGCAGACAGACAGACAGGCAGGCAGCAGGCAGUCAGACAGGCAGGC
Long non-coding RNA from Oncorhynchus masou masou (cherry salmon), 768 nucleotides. RefSeq lists it as uncharacterized. Lineage: Eukaryota; Metazoa; Chordata; Actinopteri; Salmoniformes; Salmonidae. The transcript has 3 exons. The record is from RefSeq and is a predicted model, not a curated record.